UUCAACAAACUGGAAAACCUUGACAAAUGGACAUAUUCCUGGAAAAAUACAAUGUUCCAAAAACUCAAUCAGGGAGAAUCAGAAAACCUGAAUACACCAAUACUAUAAAUGAAACUGAUUAAAUUGAAGCAUCGAUCUGACUGUCAAACCUCAGAGGGA
Molecule: long non-coding RNA, 159 nt
Organism: Pipistrellus kuhlii (Kuhl's pipistrelle)
Lineage: Eukaryota; Metazoa; Chordata; Mammalia; Chiroptera; Vespertilionidae
Exons: 3
Source: RefSeq, a predicted model, not a curated record